This 451-nucleotide ribosomal RNA is filed under the name uncultured bacterium. RNAcentral's name for it is "SSU rRNA". It matches the Rfam family "Bacterial small subunit ribosomal RNA", at positions 26 to 518 of the family's 1533-position model. The record is from RNAcentral.
AGAGCGAACGCUGGCGGCAGGCUUAACACAUGCAAGUCGAGCGGGCGUAGCAAUACGUCAGCGGCAGACGGGUGAGUAACGCGUGGGAACGUACCUUUUGGUUCGGAACAACCCAGGGAAACUUGGGCUAAUACCGGAUAAGCCCUUACGGGGAAAGAUUUAUCGCCGAAAGAUCGGCCCGCGUCUGAUUAGCUAGUUGGUGGGGUAAUGGCCCACCAAGGCGACGAUCAGUAGCUGGUCUGAGAGGAUGAUCAGCCACAUUGGGACUGAGACACGGCCCAAACUCCUACGGGAGGCAGCAGUGGGGAAUAUUGGACAAUGGGCGCAAGCCUGAUCCAGCCAUGCCGCGUGAGUGAUGAAGGCCCUAGGGUUGUAAAGCUUCUUUUGGUGCGGGAAGAUAAUGACGGUACCGCAAGAAUAACGCCCCGGCUAACUUCGCGCCAGCAGCCGC